RNAcentral lists this ribosomal RNA (431 nucleotides) under uncultured bacterium. RNAcentral's name for it is "bacterial SSU rRNA". It matches the Rfam family "Bacterial small subunit ribosomal RNA", at positions 33 to 507 of the family's 1533-position model. The record is from RNAcentral.
ACGCUGGCGGUGUGCUUCACACAUGCAAGUCGAACGAGGUAGCAAUACCUAGUGGCGGACGGGUGAGUAACGCGUGGGAAUCUGCCUUUAGAUGGGGGAUAACGGGUCGAAAGACUCGCUAAUACCGCAUAUGACGAAAGUUGAAAGGAGUAAUCCGUCUAAAGAUGAGCCCGCGUCCGAUUAGCUAGUUGGUAGAGUAAAAGCCUACCAAGGCGACGAUCGGUAGCUGGUCUGGGAGGGUGAUCAGCCACAAUGGGACUGAGACACGGCCCAUACUCCUACGGGAGGCAGCAGUGGGGAAUUUUACGCAAUGGGCGAAAGCCUGACGUAGCGACACCGCGUGAGCGAAGAAGCCCCUUGGGGUGUAAAGCUCUGUCAGCUGGAACGAAAAAAUGACGGUACCAGCAGAGGAAGCAUCGGCUAACUACGUG